UUUGACAAACUUAUAAGAGGUCCAGCCUGCCCAGUGACUCUGUUCAACGGCCGCGGUAUCCUAACCGUGCGAAGGUAGCGUAAUCACUUGUUCUUUAAAUGAGGACUAGUAUGAAUGGCACCACGAAGGUUAUACUGUCUCCUUUUUCUAAUCAGUGAAACUAAUCUUCCCGUGAAGAAACGGGAAUAAAAAUAUAAGACGAGAAGACCCUAUGGAGCUUUAAACAAAUAUACACCUGCCUCUUUACCAAAAAUUUCAGAAGACAAGUAAUUACCCGGGCAUUUUGAUAUAGCGUUUUAGGUUGGGGUGACCGCGGAGCAAAAAAUAACCUCCGCAGCGAACGGGAGUAUUCCCUAAACCAAGGGCCACAACCCCAAGUAUUGAUAAAUCAACACCAAUUGACCCAAUAAAUUUGAUCAAUGAAC
Molecule: ribosomal RNA, 425 nt
Filed under: Leptodactylus mystaceus group sp. ABGD cluster 49
Lineage: Eukaryota; Metazoa; Chordata; Amphibia; Anura; Leptodactylidae
Description: partial large subunit ribosomal RNA
Rfam family: Bacterial large subunit ribosomal RNA
Source: RNAcentral